GCUCCGGUAGUAUAGUCCGGUCAAGUAUACGGGCCUCUCGAGCCCGGGACCCGGGUUCAAAUCCCGGCCGGAGCACCA
RNAcentral lists this transfer RNA (78 nucleotides) under Nitrososphaeria archaeon. RNAcentral describes it as "tRNA-Glu". It matches the Rfam family "tRNA". Rfam says of the family: Transfer RNA (tRNA) molecules are approximately 80 nucleotides in length. Their secondary structure includes four short double-helical elements and three loops (D, anti-codon, and T loops). Further hydrogen bonds mediate the characteristic L-shaped molecular structure. tRNAs have two regions of fundamental functional importance: the anti-codon, which is responsible for specific mRNA codon recognition, and the 3' end, to which the tRNAs corresponding amino acid is attached (by aminoacyl-tRNA synthetases). tRNAs cope with the degeneracy of the genetic code in two manners: having more than one tRNA (with a specific anti-codon) for a particular amino acid; and 'wobble' base-pairing, i.e. permitting non-standard base-pairing at the 3rd anti-codon position. The record is from RNAcentral. Lineage: Archaea; Thermoproteati; Nitrososphaerota; Nitrososphaeria.